AAGGAGGACCAGGAGAGCGGGCGAGCGCAAGCGCCUGUCCGAUCGAUGCCCGUCUCCCGCGUAUAAAGCUCUCGUCCUCGGGGGGCGCGCGACAGUUAGCGUUCCGCAUCCGGAACAUGCGUCGCGCCGCGUGCCGAUCGCGCUGGGAACAUCUCGUCGUUAUCGUCCUCGUUAGUGCGGCUCACGUCAACAGCGAUAUCCGUCGCGAAUACAACCGUCGUCGUCUAAUCGUGCUCCGAUCGUGCGCGCCGAUCUCGCGAAUAGCCAAGGAACGGCGGGUUCCUCUCGCGCUCCGCGGAUCGCUGGAUCCUCGCAGGACACUUGGGACGCGAAGAUUUCCCUGUCCCUUUAUCGUCGAUAAAGAAGAGGCGACAAGUAAUGUAGAGUCGGACCGACGACGUCGCCUGGCCUCCCAGUGAGGAUCUUCUUCCCGUCGAAGUCUUCCUUCCGACGCGAUUCUUCUUGGUCGCGGAGCAAAGUAUCGGAAUCCCCAAUCGUGCGUCAGUGAAUGGUGAAUCGAAACGCAUCUGGCGCGAGCAGCGACGUCGCCGUCGAAAGGGAGAGUCGGUUACAACAAGUAAUUCCUCGAUUGCGGAUCGCUCUCGUAAAGUCAGAAUGCCAAUUGCUUCUUGCGGACGUGUCGCAUAAUCAUCUUCCUUCUCUUCGCUGAGGAGAGUCAUUCCCUCGUUCGAUAGGCUGUCUCUGACUCUGUGACGUUCUCUGGACCCGCGACAUCCCUCGCGAAUAACCGAUGUGAGAUCACGAAGCGAGGCGUCGAUUUCCGCUGUCGCGCCGGAGUAGAUCGAGGACCCGGAUUCGGCGCCGGGAACAGCUUCGUUGCUGGAUCGUAUCCGGGGACGCGUCACCGACAUUCAUCCCGCGCGGGACCCGUCAUCCGGGCAGGCGACGUCAGAUCGGCGAUCGUUCGAUCGUCCGGCGGACGUCUCGGCCGCCGCGCGAAGAACCGGCGGUGUCAGGCGGAGACGUAGAGGCGGCGGGAGAGGAGGAGGGGGAGGAGGAAGAGGAGGAAGUGGUAGUGCUGGUGCUGCUGGUGGUGGCGGCGGUGGUGCAGGAGGAAGGCCCACGGACGUGCAACAAGUUAAGAGGCCGCCGCCGUCGACGUCGCUGUCGCCGCCAGCGUCCUCGUCACGAUGUGACAUGGAUAUCCUCGCCGUAGCCUGCGCCCUCGUCGCGACGGCACUCUACUGCAAUACCCUGCAAGCGGGUUUCGUCUACGAUGACCGAAGAGCUAUCUUGACGAACCCUGAUCUACUGGCGAGCACACCGUGGUACCGGUUGCUUGAGAAUGAUUUUUGGGGAACACCACUGACGGAACGUGGUUCGCACGGCAGUUAUCGACCGCUCUGCGUGGCCACUUUUCGUCUGAAUCAUUCUCUAGGUGGCCUUGAACCUUGGGGCUAUCAUCUGGUGAAUGUGGCCUUGCACGCUGUUUGUACCAUUCUCGUGGUCAAGGUUGCCAGAAAGGUCCUGCCAGGAAGGAGCAAUCUCGCGCACGCGAUCACGGGUUUCCUGUUUGCGGUCCAUCCCAUUCACAGCGAGGCUGUGGCCGGUAUAGUCGGACGUGCCGACCUUCUUGCCUGCUUCCUGACCUUGACAUCUUUCUUGACGUACUCGGCCCAUUGUAAUCGCACGAGAUCGCCGUUUCCUCUACUGUUGGCCUUGGUGUCAUCGACGUUGGCUACUCUCGCCAAAGAAACUGGUAUAUCAUCUCUGGCUCUCUGCCUUCUGUGGGAGCUCUGUCGCGGCGAGCCAAGUCGAAAGGGCAAUUGCGGAUUCACUCGGGGUCGGAGUGUCAGCAUUCUGUCGGGCGGUCUGGCGCUACUCGCACUAGGUCGGCUAAGGCUCGUAGGCAACAGGCCCGAGUUUGCGAGCGCGGACAAUCCGGCGGCGAGGCAUCCUUCACGGCUGACACGCGGCCUGACGUUCCUGUAUCUUCCGGCGGCCAGCGCGAGAAUGCUACUGUGUCCGAGCACGUUGAGCUUCGACUGGUCGAUGGACGCCGUGCCGCGCAUAACGAGCCUGUUGGACCCGCGUAAUCUAGAAUCGGUGUGCCUGUACGUCGCCCUGAUCGGCGCCGUUUUCUGGGCCGUCAGGAGUCUGCGACGACGUCAUCGAAACUCGUCGAUGCUGGGUCAGCAGGCAUAUUCGCGCAUGGUUACGUCAUCCAGGUGUCCCGUGUGCGCCGGUAGACGCACCGGCGGCUGUCACACUGACGGCUGCAGGGCGGCCAACAACAAUAACAACAGUCCGCUCGGUGAUUGUCAUUGUGCCAAGAGGCCGAGCAGCAACGGCGGCGUUAACAUUGGUGGCCGGCAAACGGCGGCAACCGCCGUCGCCGUCUCCCUGGGCUUCCUCGUGCUCCCCUUCCUACCGGCGAGCAAUUUGUUCUUCUACGUGGGCUUUGUCAUAGCCGAGAGGAUACUGUACCUGCCCAGCGUGGGCGCCUGUCUGGUCGUCGGCGCCGCGGUGUCCGGAUGCUAUCGGAUAGCGAGAAGAAACGGGUCCAAAACGCGCGGCAGGGCGGUGCUGCUGGCGACAGCGAUCCUCAUCGGCGUGAUGUCGGCGAAGACGCUCGUCAGAAACGCUGACUGGAGGGAUGAGGAGAGCCUGUACAGGUCCGCGCUGCAUGUCAAUCCGCCAAAAGCUUAUGGUAAUUUGGGGAGCAUUCUCAGCGAACAAGGUCGAAUAGCGGAAGCGGAAGAAGCGUUCGUCCAAGCUCUUCGCUAUCGACCGAAUAUGGCAGACGUGCACUACAACCUAGGCAUCUUACAGCAGGGCAGGAAGAAUUACGAAGAGGCGAUUUUGAGUUAUCAACGAGCCAUUCAUUUCCGGCCUUCGUUAGCUCAGGCUUACGUAAAUCUGGGGGCUGCGCUGAUUUCGGUCGGACGCGGCACGGAAGCGGCUGCGGUUUUGCGCGCCGGUGCAUCCUUGGAUGGUUCCGGACUGAAGGACAAAAGGGCUCACGAGGCGGCCAAGGUGCAGGCCCUCCUUCAAUUAGGCGCACUGUAUGCCGAUCAGGGUAGAUUACAAAGAGCCCUGUCAGCAUACAGGGAAGCCCUGCGCUCCCUGCCGGAUCACUAUCCACCUCAGAGCGUGUAUAAUCUGCUAGGCGAAACGCUGUCCAGACUGCAACAGUACGCGGAGGCCGAGAGGUGGUUCCAGGCGAGUUUGGCCAGCCAGCCUGACCACGUGCCGGCCCACAUCACUUAUGGGAAACUUUUGGCACGGAACAACAAGCUCCUCAGCCGGUAGCAACCGCCAGGGGGAGGGGGGACAGACAGGGCUAUCGAGUUCGCGGUGGCUCACAAGUCGCCUCUGCUUUCUCUCUCUUUAGUCGAGCCGUGUUCUGGAAGCGGAAAGAUGGUUCCUGAGGGCCCGCAGAUUGGCACCGGACGACCCCAGCGUGCACCAUCAUUACGGGCUGUUCCUGACGUCGCAGGGCCGAUUAGUGGAAGCUGCCGAGGAGCAACUACGAGCAGCCGAGCUGUCGCGAUCCGACUACGA
This 3525-nucleotide unclassified non-coding RNA is filed under the name Camponotus floridanus (Florida carpenter ant). RNAcentral's name for it is "transmembrane and TPR repeat-containing protein CG4341, transcript variant X1". Lineage: Eukaryota; Metazoa; Arthropoda; Insecta; Hymenoptera; Formicidae. The record is from RNAcentral.